Gorilla gorilla gorilla (western lowland gorilla) is the source of this 5059-nucleotide long non-coding RNA. RefSeq lists it as uncharacterized. NCBI's taxonomy places the organism in Eukaryota, Metazoa, Chordata, Mammalia, Primates, Hominidae. The record is from RefSeq and is a predicted model, not a curated record. The transcript has 5 exons.
GGACAGCUGUGGCCCUGACUCUGGGGGCGAGAGCAGGGUAUUGAAUACUACACAGCAACAGCCACAGGAAUAAACCCAAACACCCCAGAUUUUUCUCAGGGGGACAUCUGUUCAAUUUUGGCAUGAUUAACCUUUAAAUCUCUGGUUCUUUCUGACUCUGAUGUUUGGCAGAGGUGCUGAUUCCAGAUAAUCAAAACUAGGACAAGCAAGGUGAAGAAAUGCGUCUUCUAAGCAACUCCUGAGUGGUACUCACCAAGGAAAUCCAGGUGAAAACAUAAACAGGAAAAAAGGGCCCUCACUAAGAACCUGACCAUGCUGGCACUAUGAUUACAGACUUCCACCCUCCAGAACUGUGAGAAACACGUUUGUUAAGCCACAAAAUAUUUAUUGUGGCAAUUCUUUGAGAAUUUUGCUCUGUAGCCCAAGCUGGAGUGCAGUGGUGUGAUCUCGGCUCACUGACUGCAACCUCUGCCCGCCUGGUUCAAGCGAUUCUCCAGCCUCAGCCUCUUGAAUAGCUGGGAUUACAGGCGUACACCAGCAUACCUGGUCACCACAAUUUGGAAGAAAAAAAAAAUGAAUGCCAGAAGUGUCUGGUCAGCUUGGGGAAAACACACCAAACACUCUGAGAGUAUAAAAUGUAACUCACUCCCUACCAAUGCACCAGAGGCUGGCAAGUCUACCAGAGCUCACUACAGCGGGGCAAGCUGAGUAAAGAAGUCUGAAAAAUGAUGACAAUCAUCUAAACCAAUUGAUCUUUAAAACUGUUUAGAGAUCUAGUAUAAAGGAUGCUAUUUCUCCACAUCCUCUCUAGCACCUGUUGUUUCCUGACUUUUUAAUGAUUGCCAUUCUAACUGGUGUGAGAUGGUAUCUCAUUGUGGUUUUGAUUUGCAUUUCUCUGAUGGCCAGUGAUGGCUGGAGUGCAACGACAUGAUCUAGACUCACUGCAAUCUCCACCUCCCUGGUUCAAGCCAUUCUCCUGCCUCAACCUCCUGAGUAGCUGAGAUUACAGGCACAUGCCACUAUGCCUGGCUAAUUUUUAUAUUAUUGCAGAGACGGGGUUUCACCAUGUUGACCACGCUGGUCUUGAACUCCUAACCUCAAGUGAUCUGUCUGCCUUGGCCUCCCAAAGUGCUGGGAUUAGAGGCAUGAGCCACCAUGCCUGGUCAAUACAAUAGAUUUUUUAAAUCUCUUUUUUGCUCAAUAUUAUGUUUGUGAGAUUUAGCAUAUUGUUGUGUGUAGUUUUAGUUUGUCCACUCUUACUACUGUAUGUAUUCCAUUGUGUGAACAUAUCAUCGUUUUUUUUCCAUUUUACAGUUGAGUUCUUUGAUCAACUUUCAGUUUGGAAAUGCUAUGAACAUAUUUUACAUGUCUUUUUGUGAACACAUAAAUACCCCUCUGUUGAGUAUUCAUCUAGAAGUUUAAUUGCUGGUUCAUAGAGCAAACACACGAUUUAUUACCAUACAUACAGAUAGAUUCUCCAAACAAUUUUUCAAGGUGGUUAACUAAUUUAUGCCAGCAAUCAAUGACAUUUAGGAUUGUUCUAGAUCCUUGGAAACUCAGUGUUUUUUAGUCAUAUGUUAAUCGGCCAUUUGGAUAUGCUCUUGUGAGGUACUCACUGAAGUCUUUAGCCUUUUUUUUUGUUUUGUUUGCUUGUUUUGGUUUUUGAGACAGAGUUUCACUCUUGUUGCCCAGGCUAGAGUGCAAUGGUGUGAUCUUGGCUCACUGCAACCUCCGCCUCCUGGGUUCAAGCAAUUUUCCAGCCUCAGCCUUCUGAGUAGCUAGGACUACAGGGGUGAGCUACUAUGCCCAGCUAAUUUUCGUAUUUUUUGUAGAUACAGGAUUUCGCCAUGACCUCCUGACCUCGAACUCCUGACCUCGGUGAUCCUCAGGCCUUGGCCUCCCAAAGUGCUGGGAUUGCAGGUGUGGGCCACCGCACCCAGUCUAGCCAUUUUUCUUAUACAGUGAGUUUUUAACAAAAUUAUAUGGGAGAGUGCACAGGCAAGGUAAUCUAUCCAUGAUUGUCCAUAGCCUGACUUCACUCUUCCUCUUCAUGCUAAAUCAGAAAUACAAAAAUACUCAUAUUGAAGCUGUGAAGAAUAAAAAAUUCCUCUCACUAACAUGAGAGGAAGAGUGUUCCAAAAUUGUCUAGGAGCAAACAGAAGGUCUUAAUAGAACAAAUGAAAAAUAAUUAAAGGAAAAAGGAAUGGCAUAAAGCCUACAUAAAAAACACUAAAAUAAAAAUGAUUAAAGAAGGAAACAUAGUCCUAAAAAAUCCAAUAGUUGAAAUCCAUCAUAUAGGAAAAUAAUACGAAAGAAAUAAAAGUUAAUUCUACACUGUACUAGUGUACUAGGGCUGCUGAAACAAAUUACCACAAACUGGGUAACACAACAACAUAAAUUUAUUCUCUCACAGUUCUGGAGAACAGCUUCUGGUGAUUGCUGGCAAUUCUUAGCAAUCCUCUCCAUCUGUGGACCACUGGGACAGGCAUAGGAUAAACAUUUUCAUUUCCAUAGGGAGAAAUUGGAAGUUAUAAAAGGGUUACUGGUUUGAAGCAAGUGCAAAAAUUGGCAGGAUAAACUGCAUUCAGCUCAAGGUCUGAAAAUACUCCUCUGAGGCUUGAUCCUCUGUUUUCUGGGCCCAUGGUAGUCAUCCUGCUGUCUCUGGCCUUUAUAUUUGUAUCUGUGGUUCUGCCCUCAGAGUAAUUCUUCCUUUCUCUUAAAGAUGAACAAAUAUUUGUGACUGAAUAGCUCUAUCAGCCCAUUUCUUGCUAGAAUCCCAGAAAUCUGGUGGCCUUCCUUCAUUUUGUCUUAUCUCUGCCCCUUUCAGUCCAGGCUGGUAGUGUGAUAAGGUUUGGCUGCACCCCCACCCAAAGCUCAUCUUGAAUUGUAAUUCCCAUAAUCCCCACAAGUCAUGGGAGGGAUUCUACGGGAGGUAAUUGAAUAACUGGGACAGUUAUCUUCAUGCUGUUCUCCUCAUAGUGAAUAAGUACUCAAGAGAUCUGAUGGUUUUAUAAGGGGCUUCUCCUUCACUCUGUACUCACUUAUCUCACCUGCCACCAUGGAAGACGUGCCUGUUUCAUCUUCUGCCAUGAUGGUAAGUUUCCUGAGGCCUCCCUAGACAUGGGGAACUGUGUCAAUUAAACCUCUUUUCUUUACAAAUUACCCGAUCUUGAGUAUGUCUUUAAAGCAGCAUGAAAACAGACUAAAACAGUAAAUUGGUACCACAGAGAAUGGAUGCUGCUGUGAAGAUACCCAAAAAUUCAGAAGUGACUUUGGAACUGCGUAAUGGGCAGAGACUGGAACCGUUUGGUGGGCUUGGAAGAAGACAGGAAAAUGUGGGAAAGUUUGGAACUUCCCAGUGACUUGUUGAAUGGCUUUGACCAAAAUGCUGAUAGUAAUAUCAACAGCAAAAUCUAGGCCAAGGUGGUCUCAAAUGGCAAUGAGGAACUUGUUGGGAACUGGAGUAAAGAUCGCUCUUGCUGUGCAAAGAGACUAGUGGCAUUCUGCUCCUGCCCUAGAGAUCUGUGGAACUUUGAACUUGAGAGAGAUGAUUUAGAGUAUCUGGCAGAAGAAAUUUCUAAGCACCAAAGCAUUCAACAGAAGGCAGAGCAUAAAAGUUUGGAAAAUUUGCAGCCUGAUGAUACAAUAGAAAAGGAAAACCCAUUUUCUGGGGGAGAAAUUUAAGCCUGCUGCAGUAAGUUGCAUAAGUAAUGAGGAGCUGAAUGUUAAUCACCAAGACAAUGGGGAAAAUGUCUCCAUGACAUGCCAAAGGCCUUCAUGACAGCCCCUUCCAUCACAGGCCCAGAGGCCUAGGAGGAAAAAAUGGUUUUGUGGGCUGGACCCAGGGCCUCCCUGCCCUGUGCAGCCUCAAUACAUGGUGCCCCACAUCCCAGCUACUUCAGCUCCAGCUGUGGCUAAAAGGGGCCAAGAUACAGCUCAGGUCAUUGCUUCAAAGGGUGUAAGCCCCAAGCCUUGGCAGCUUCCACCUGGUGUUUGUCCUGCAGGUGCACAAAAGACAAGGAUUGAGCUUUGAGAACCUCUGCCUAGAUUUCAGAGGAUGGACAGAAAUGCCAGGAUAUCCAGGCAGAGGUGUGCACAUGGAGAACCUCUUCUAGGGCAGUGCAGAAGGGAAAUGUGGGGUUGGAGCUCCCACAGUAAGUCCUCAUAGAGACACUGCUCAGUAGAGCUGUGAGAAGAGGGCCACCGUCUUCCAGAUCCCAGAAUGGGAGAUCCACUGACAGCUUACAUUCUGCAUCUGGAAAAGCCACAGGCACUCAAUGCCAGCUUGUGAAAACAGCCAGGAUGCAGGACUGUACCCUGGAAAGCCACAGGUGAAACUGACCAGGGCUGUGGAAGCCCACCUCUUGACAUCAGCGUGACCUGGAUAUGAGAUGUGGAGUCAAAGGAGAUUAUUUUGGAACAUUAAGGUUUAAUAACGGCCCUAUUGAUUUCAGAUUUGUAUGGGGCGUAUAACCCCUUUGUUUUGGCCAAUUUAUCUUAUUUGGAACAGGUGUAUUUAUCCAAUGCCUGAACCAUCAUUGUAUCUAGGAAGUAACUAAUUUGCUCUUAAUUUUACUGGCUCAUAGGCGGAAGGGACUUGCCUUGUCUCAGAUAAGACUUUGGACUAGGACUUUUGAGUUAAUGCUGGAAUGAGUUAAGACUUUGGGGGGCUGUUGGGAAGGCAUGAUUGUGUUUUGAAAUGUGAGGACAUGAGAUUUGGUCAGGUACGGAAUGAUAUGGUUAGGCUUUGUAUCCCCACCCAAAUCUCAUCUUGAAUUGUAGUUCCCAUAAUACCCAUGUGUCAUGGGAGGGACCCUAUGGGAGGUAAUUAAAUCAUGGGGGCGGUUACCCUCAUGCUGUUCUCAUGAUAGUGAGUCAGUUCUAAUGAGAUCUGAUGGUUUUAUAAGGAGCGUCCCCUUUGCUUGGCACUCACUUCUCUCACCUGCCUCUCACCUGUAAGAUGUGCCUGUUUUGCUUUCCACUAUGAUUGUAAGUUUCUUGAGGCCUCCUUUGCCAUGCAGAAUUGUGAGUCAAUUAAACCUUUUUUCUUUAUAAAUUA